CCCAGACAGCCAGGAUGUUGGCUUAGAAGCAGCCAUCAUUUAAAGAAAGCGUAAUAGCUCACUGGUCGAGUCGGCCUGCGCGGAAGAUGUAACGGGGCUAAACCAUGCACCGAAGCUGCGGCAGCGAACGUAUCACUUAAAGCGAUUCAGCGGGUUACGAUUGACGGAGCGAAGCGACGUCAAAGCGUAUACAAAGUCGAGUCGGUUUAAGGAUACGUUCGUUGGGUAGGGGAGCGUUCUGUAAGCCUGUGAAGGUGUGUCGUGAGGCAUGCUGGAGGUAUCAGAAGUGCGAAUGCUGACAUAAGUAACGAUAAAGCGGGUGAAAAGCCCGCUCGCCGGAAGACCAAGGGUUCCUGUCCAACGUUAAUCGGGGCAGGGUGAGUCGACCCCUAAGGCGAGGCCGAAAGGCGUAGUCGAUGGGAAACGGGUUAAUAUUCCCGUACUUGGUGUUACUGCGAAGGGGGGACGGAGAAGGCUAUGUUGGCCGGGCGACGGUUGUCCCGGUUUAAGCGUGUAGGCUGGUUUUCCAGGCAAAUCCGGUUCACUUUAAAACUGAGGCGUGAUGACGAGGCACUACGGUGCUGAAGCAACAAAUGCCCUGCUUCCAGGAAAAGCCUCUAAGCAUCAGGUAACAUCAAAUCGUACCCCAAACCGACACAGGUGGUCAGGUAGAGAAUACCAAGGCGCUUGAGAGAACUCGGGUGAAGGAACUAGGCAAAAUGGUGCCGUAACUUCGGGAGAAGGCACGCUGACACGUAGGUGAAGUGAUUUACUCAUGGAGCUGAAGUCAGUCGAAGAUACCAGCUGGCUGCAACUGUUUAUUAAAAACACAGCACUGUGCAAACACGAAAGUGGACGUAUACGGUGUGACGCCUGCCCGGUGCCGGAAGGUUAAUUGAUGGGGUCAGCGCAAGCGAAGCUCCUGAUCGAAGCCCCGGUAAACGGCGGCCGUAACUAUAACGGUCCUAAGGUAGCGAAAUUCCUUGUCGGGUAAGUUCCGACCUGCACGAAUGGCGUAAUGAUGGCCAGGCUGUCUCCACCCGAGACUCAGUGAAAUUGAACUCGCUGUGAAGAUGCAGUGUACCCGCGGCAAGACGGAAAGACCCCGUGAACCUUUACUAUAGCUUGACACUGAACAUUGAGCCUUGAUGUGUAGGAUAGGUGGGAGGCUUUGAAGCGUGGACGCCAGUCUGCGUGGAGCCGACCUUGAAAUACCACCCUUUAAUGUUUGAUGUUCUAACGUGGACCCGUAAUCCGGGUUGCGGACAGUGUCUGGUGGGUAGUUUGACUGGGGCGGUCUCCUCCUAAAGAGUAACGGAGGAGCACGAAGGUUGGCUAAUCCUGGUCGGACAUCAGGAGGUUAGUGCAAUGGCAUAAGCCAGCUUGACUGCGAGCGUGACGGCGCGAGCAGGUGCGAAAGCAGGUCAUAGUGAUCCGGUGGUUCUGAAUGGAAGGGCCAUCGCUCAACGGAUAAAAGGUACUCCGGGGAUAACAGGCUGAUACCGCCCAAGAGUUCAUAUCGACGGCGGUGUUUGGCACCUCGAUGUCGGCUCAUCACAUCCUGGGGCUGAAGUAGGUCCCAAGGGUAUGGCUGUUCGCCAUUUAAAGUGGUACGCGAGCUGGGUUUAGAACGUCGUGAGACAGUUCGGUCCCUAUCUGCCGUGGGCGCUGGAGAACUGAGGGGGGCUGCUCCUAGUACGAGAGGACCGGAGUGGACGCAUCACUGGUGUUCGGGUUGUCAUGCCAAUGGCACUGCCCGGUAGCUAAAUGCGGAAGAGAUAAGUGCUGAAAGCAUCUAAGCACGAAACUUGCCCCGAGAUGAGUUCUCCCUGAGACUUAGAGUCUCCUGAAGGAACGUUGAAGACGACGACGUUGAUAGGCCGGGUGUGUAAGCGCAGCGAUGCGUUGAGCUAACCGGUACUAAUGAACCGUGAGGCUUAACCUUACAACGCCGAAG
This 1957-nucleotide ribosomal RNA is filed under the name Salmonella enterica subsp. enterica serovar Infantis. RNAcentral's name for it is "partial 23S ribosomal RNA". It matches the Rfam family "Bacterial large subunit ribosomal RNA", at positions 1084 to 2925 of the family's 2925-position model. The record is from RNAcentral. Lineage: Bacteria; Pseudomonadati; Pseudomonadota; Gammaproteobacteria; Enterobacterales; Enterobacteriaceae.